UACGGAGGGUGCAAGCGUUAAUCGGAAUUACUGGGCGUAAAGCGCGCGUAGGCGGCUGGAUAAGUCGAUUGUGAAAGCCCCGGGCUCAACCUGGGAAUUGCAGUCGAGACUGUUCGGCUAGAGUGUGGGAGAGGGUGGUGGAAUUCCCGGUGUAGCGGUGAAAUGCGUAGAUAUCGGGAGGAAUAUUUAAUGAUACGGCGACCACCGGGAUCUACACUGACGCUGAGGUGCGAAAGCGUGGGUAGCAAACAGG
RNAcentral lists this ribosomal RNA (253 nucleotides) under uncultured bacterium. RNAcentral's name for it is "partial 16S ribosomal RNA". It matches the Rfam family "Bacterial small subunit ribosomal RNA", at positions 524 to 776 of the family's 1533-position model. The record is from RNAcentral.